Molecule: ribosomal RNA, 763 nt
Filed under: Acanthamoeba castellanii
Lineage: Eukaryota; Discosea; Longamoebia; Acanthamoebidae
Description: SSU rRNA
Rfam family: Eukaryotic small subunit ribosomal RNA
Source: RNAcentral
CUCGUAGUUGGAUCUAGGGACGCGCAUUUCAAGCGCCCGUGUCGUCGGGUCAAACCGGCGACUGCGUUGGCGUUGCGGGCUCGGUCCGUCGGUGGACCCUCGUGGUCUUAAUCGGCGUGUCAACCGGCCCGCCCGUCCCCUCCUUCUGGAUUCCCGUUCCUGCUAUUGAGUUAGUGGGGACGUCACAGGGGGCUCAUCGUCGUCAUGCGAAUGGCGGCGGUGGGUCCCUGGGGCCCAGAUCGUUUACCGUGAAAAAAUUAGAGUGUUCAAAGCAGGCAGAUCCAAUUUUCUGCCACCGAAUACAUUAGCAUGGGAUAAUGGAAUAGGACCCUGUCCUCCUAUUUUCAGUUGGUUUUGGCAGCGCGAGGACUAGGGUAAUGAUUAAUAGGGAUAGUUGGGGGCAUUAAUAUUUAAUUGUCAGAGGUGAAAUUCUUGGAUUUAUGAAAGAUUAACUUCUGCGAAAGCAUCUGCCAAGGAUGUUUUCAUUAAUCAAGAACGAAAGUUAGGGGAUCGAAGACGAUCAGAUACCGUCGUAGUCUUAACCAUAAACGAUGCCGACCAGCGAUUAGGAGACGUUGAAUACAAAACACCACCAUCGGCGCGGUCGUCCUUGGCGUCUGUCCCUUUCAACGGGGGCAGGCGCGAGGGCGGUUUAGCCCGGUGGCACCGGUGAAUGACUCCCCUAGCAGCUUGUGAGAAAUCAUAAGUCUUUGGGUUCCGGGGGGAGUAUGGUCGCAAGGCUGAAACUUAAAGGAAUUGACGG